This 74-nucleotide microRNA precursor is filed under the name Bombyx mori (domestic silkworm). Its description in RNAcentral is "mir-2807 microRNA precursor family". It matches the Rfam family "mir-2807 microRNA precursor family". The record is from Rfam by way of RNAcentral. Lineage: Eukaryota; Metazoa; Arthropoda; Insecta; Lepidoptera; Bombycidae.
UUAACACAAAUUUGAAUGGAGUUGGAACGUUUGCCGCUAGGGGCGCUGUUCCAACUGCAUACAAAUUUGAGUUA